GUGGGAAUAAAACCUUUGCAUACGACUUAGUUAUAUCAGACGGUGCUGUAAAUAGUAGAGUAGUCUUGUUAUUACGAUCUAUUGAGGCUAAGCCGCGCUGAUUUAGUUUUGU
Albugo candida is the source of this 112-nucleotide ribosomal RNA. It matches the Rfam family "Eukaryotic large subunit ribosomal RNA", at positions 3290 to 3401 of the family's 3401-position model. Lineage: Eukaryota; Oomycota; Peronosporomycetes; Albuginales; Albuginaceae. The record is from Rfam.